Long non-coding RNA from Dromaius novaehollandiae (emu), 2710 nucleotides. RefSeq lists it as uncharacterized. The transcript is spliced from 4 exons. The record is from RefSeq and is a predicted model, not a curated record. Lineage: Eukaryota; Metazoa; Chordata; Aves; Casuariiformes; Dromaiidae.
CAAGUAAGUAGUUAAAACUACUUUCUAGCUUUAUUUCAGAAGAUGCAUAUUCUCUGCUUGUCAGACCGUUGUCCUAAAUGCACCAUGUAUUGGUACUAGUGGUUUUUAAUAAUUCUGUAGUUCGUUGUUGCUUAGAGUCCAAAUAGGUUGGGGGGGGGGGGGGGAGCUUAACAGUAGGGUGGUUUUGUGUUAGAAAAAAUGCUACCUUGAAAGGGCAUCAAAUGAUAAGAUUAUAUCCUUUCAUCAAAAAUAUUGGGAAUUUAUAAAUACAUUUCAUUUUGGCAAAUUAAACUUUUAAUUUUUGUUUUGUAAGGCAUUAGGAUGGACAAGGAAAAAAUACCACAAUAAUUGAACUUCUUUAAAGUGAAAAACUUUGGGAUGUCUUAUUUGACAGAGGCUGGAACAUGACCAGGCAAGGUCAUUUUAAGAUUUUAGAAACUAAAAAGAACUCCACAGUUCAGAAAUUCCACUUUCUGGCUGGCUUUAAUUGUAAAUUUAUUUUCUAUUCAACAGUGACAGUAGGCCAAUGUAUUUGUCACCUUGCUUUGGUUUUGUUCACUUGCUUGCUUGCUUGGUUUUACUGCUUACUAAAUGCUGGAGUAUUGGGGCUAAAAUUCUUCAGGGACACCUCUAACGUAAACUGCAUUUUCACUAGUAUUUGUUGAAUAUUGUCAAAAUUUUCUUAAUGUCUAAAUGUAGACCUAAUUCAUCCUGACAGUGUUAUGUUACUAUUGAACUGCCAGUUUUAAUUGAAGUACAACACAGGCCCAGAAGGGAAAGGCUCUACAAAUAUUUGCAGAGGAUGCAUCUUACUGGAUUUGAUUUAUCUCUUCUUACGUUGUAAGUUGUGCACAGACUGAAACAUUGAAUUGGAGUGAAUUGUAGAAGUUCCCAAGAGAGUCUGAGGACAGAGAACAAAGAGAAUCCCACGUGGAACGCCACCGAUGAGUCUGAAACGAGAGAGGGAAAAGGAACACCGUUUUAACAAAGAGCGCUCUUCUAUCGCCAGUGUUAUCAAGAUACUGCUGCUGGCAAUUCAGGAUCCAGAGUUUGUCACUGGAAGUUUCAAAUGCACAGGAGUAAAUUUGCCAAUUUCCUUUUGAUUCAAGCCACUGCUGCCAAAGAGACAUGAGUAGAAUGAAGUUGCUUUUCUGAAAAGAGCAUAAGAGCCUUCUCUACAGCGUGGUGGAUGGUAAAGUUUAUAACAAUACUGCAAGUUAGAGCAACACCUAAGUGUUCCCUAGCAAAUCUAAGGCUGUGGAUGUUUAAAUACUUAAGUUGCUUUUCCUGUUUCACAGUCCAAGUGAAUUAAUUCUUGAUUUUUAUUGAUCAGGAAAAAUUAUCUGAGUAACUUUCAUUAUUAGACUAGGUGGUUUUUUUCUAGGCUUUCUUCUAAUCUCCUCGUUGAAUAGAGUCUUAACAUGCAUCUAUCCAUUUUUUGCCUUAUUUUCAGAAAAGUGUAUUGUUUUAUCUAAGGUUAAAUACUUUUGAAGAGAAGGCAAUCUGUAUUUAAAUAAGAAUUAGCAGAUUUAGGUAAGCUCAAGCACCUUUUAUUUGAACCUUUUAAGGUCUAAAAAUUAAAAACUGAUUUCACAAGGUUUUUGUCUUAUGUUGGAUACUACCUCUACUUAUACUGAAACAUAGCAGUUCUAUUAGUGAUCCUAGGGUUUGGCCAGGCCUUCUUAUAGUAAACAAAAUAAAACCUACAGAAUUUUCUGUCCAUGAGAUAAAGGAAGAUGGCUAGUCUGCAGUAAUUAUCACUCUGUAAAUGAAUGAGGAGAAGCCUCAUUUUACAGAGGGUGCUACACUGGCAGCAGCAGUAGUGCAGUGAAUAAUCCCAGACAGCUCAGCUAGGCACACACACAUUUUUCAGUUGCAUGUUCUCAUGAUUGGCACUGUAAUGCACCAUUUUGGACACUUCCUAAGUUAGUGGAAUUUUUGCCUGAACAAAAGCUUCACAACUGUGCCAUACAUUCCUUUUCCGUAAGUUUUACAAUCCUCUUGUUUGCACUAGUACAACUGAACUGUCCUUCACAUCAGUUUCCUUGUGUUUCUACUCUGUGAAGCCAGUUUGUAUAAUUACUUCAAAAACUCCUGUCCAGCCACAUCUGUGUCUGUCACUAACAGAGUGCAAAUCUUUUUUGGCCCAUAACUCUACUUUUCCAUACAUUGCAAAAGGCACCAAACAUGCAAUUAUUGCCGCCUAAAUAUUUUACUAGGCAAAAACAGAAGACUGUGUUCUUCUAAUUUAAACAAGUGAUUUUCCACUAACUUGAGUAGAAUGACUCCUCAUUUAUACCAGUUGAAGUGAAAAAAGAAUCAGGCCUGAGCUGUAGAAAUAAAAUAAUCUAUGUUCUGAUUUUUCUCUCAGUGAAAAAUUCUCACUGAUUUGAAAAAAGCACUCUCUCAAUAUAUUAAGUAGAGGUAAAAUGUCACAUUUAAAUUAAUUGAAACUAGGACUGCACACAUCAGUUUUAAGUAAGACAUGUCUUUUUAUUCACUACAGAAUGCAGAAGGUUUUAAUCUCUAGAAAAAGAUGCUGGCUCUCAGAGGAAACAAGGUUGCCUCUGAGUUUUUAAUUAGCAGGUAAGCUUGCAAUCACUCGUGAUCUGUCAGCGCCUCAGCAAAUUCUUCUGCUCUCCCUGAGCAGCCAGCAGCAGUGGAUUACAAUCAGACAGCAGAAACUAUCACGUCUCUAUUUCUGUGUCUC